GCAAGCGUUGUUCGGAGUUACUGGGCGUAAAGGGUGUGUAGGCGGUUCUUUAAGUUUGGGGUGAAAUCUCCCGGCUCAACUGGGAGGGUGCGCCGAAUACUGAGGGACUAGAGUACGGGAGAGGAAAGUGGAAUUCCUGGUGUAGCGGUGAAAUGCGUAGAUAUCAGGAGGAACACCGGUGGUGUAGACGGCUUUCUGGCUGCUAACUGACGCUGAGGCGCGAAGGCUGGGGUAGCGAACAGG
Molecule: ribosomal RNA, 243 nt
Filed under: uncultured bacterium
Lineage: Bacteria
Description: partial 16S ribosomal RNA
Rfam family: Bacterial small subunit ribosomal RNA
Source: RNAcentral